AUAUCUGGGAGCAUUUGAUAGGACACCUUACUCUGAGCUCUGAUGGGCAAAUUUUGUUUUUGGGUGAGCCUGAAAGGUGAAGCUAAUGGGGCUUAUGCUUGGCCUACUGAUCCCAGAGGAGAGAAUCAUAGAGAAUUGUGGAAUUGGAGAGCUGCAAAUAGCCUGCCCUCAUUUGUAAGUCACCCCUGAUUCAGGCUACAGAGCUGCAGCUAUUGAUGGCAUCCAUGGAAAUGACUCUGGCCUUGAGGCUCAGCUUCUCACAGAGAAGCGGUUUUUCCCUUCUGCAUCCAGUGCUUGAUGGGAGACUUGACAAAGUGGUGGCAGAGCUGGAGCCUGAGGAAAACCCAACAGAGCUUGCAUUUAUUACAAAAUACUGAAUUGCUAAGUGCUAAAUGAGAUUGCCUCCAUGUCCUGCUCAUUGACUUACAGGAAAAAAAUGCACCCUCAAAUAGCAGGUGGGGUUGGAAUUAGGAGGAAGUGGUUGGAGACUGCACCAAAGAGCAGGGGGCCAACCAUGGUCCACACAAGGAGAUGUGGAAGUGUUUCAUUCUACCCAAUGUUCUUGUGGAGUUAGUUGUUACUUAGCUAAAAAGAAUGUUGGGGAGGACCCGAGUUUGGGUCUUAGUGCUGCCAUUUUAUUAGUUGGGUAACCUUGGGCAAGUUAACAGUUCUGUGCUUCAGUGUCUUCAUCUAUAAAGAGAAAAUAACAAUUUGCAGGGGCACUUAAAGAUAAAAUGAAUGUUUAUGUAAUCUUUCUGGUGCACAGUAAUGCUGAAUUAAUGUCUCUAUUCUUUUUCUUUUUUUUUUUUUUUUAAACAACAAAAAAACCCCUCCUGUCUUUUCUGUUUUUCCUCAAUCAACUUAGAGGUUUAUUUUGCCAAGGUUAAGGACCAUGGCCCAUGACACAGCCUCAGGAGGUUCUGAGAACAUGUGCCCAGGUUGGCUGAGUUAUAGCUUGGCUUUAUACACUUUAGACAGACAGAAGUUACAGGCAAAAAUAUAAAUCAAUAUACAUAAAGCAAAUAUUGGUUUGGCCUGGAAAAAAGGGACAUGAUGGGGGCAGAGGGGGUAGGGGAUUCCAGGUCAUAGGUGGAUUCAAAGAUUUCCUAAUUAGCAAUUGGUUGAAAGACUUACAUGCUGCCUGAAGAGUUGAAGUCAGUUCGAGUUCAGAUAAAGGGGGUUUUGAAAGCCAAGGUUCUUGUCAAGUAUAUGAAACCUCCAAGCAGCAGGCCUCAGAGAGAAUAUAUGGUGAAUGUCUCUGUUCACACCUCAAAAGGCAACAGACUCUCCAGAAAAUAUCUAGUCAUGGAAGGAGAUUCUUUACAGAAUGCAAAUUUCCCCCACAAGAAACAGCUUUGCAGGGCCAUUUCAAAAUAUGUCAAAGAAAUAAAAUACUUUGGUUUCCUUCAGAGCCUACUGUUUGUCCUGUGAUGUUAUACCAGAGGCAGGUUGGAAUUUUGUAUGUCAUUGCUACAAAGAGGCUGUUUUAAGAUCUCCGUUUUCAUGUUAAUAUUGGUCAGUUGUGUCUAAACUCUAAAAGCAGGAGAGUAUAAUGAGGCAUGCCUGAUUCUCAUUUCCUGUCGUGACCUGAACUAGUUUUUCAGGUUAAUUUGGAAUCCCGUUGGCCAAGGAGGGGAGGGUCAUUCAGUCAGAUGGGGAGCUUAGAACUUUAUUUUCGGUUAACAUUCUCCCUCUUCUGGCCAAGAUUUGCCAGAGGCAACAUCAGUGAUCAAACUUUUAUUUUUGUCCCAUAGCUGAACUCAUGUCUUAAUGAUUACUUAUAUUAAUCGCAUGAGACUGGCCCUCUAGAAGCCCAUUCUCUAUCCCACUUAGAAUGGGGCACCAACACUGCUUCUCUAGAUUUCAUAAGCAAUGCUAGCUAGCUUCUGUGCCAAAUUGCCAGUUGUUUCAAGUAAUGGAAAUAGUUAGUAGGUACGUUCUUGGGAAUGGGGAGUCCCCUACGGGUUGGGGGUAGGGAGUGAGGCUGUCAGUUACAUGAAGACAGGGCAGAGGACACAAGGAUACAGGACAUAACAGACACACAGGAAGUGAAUGAAUGCAUUUAAGUGUUUGGUGGCCAAAGUAGGGCAAGGAGAGAACUAAUGAGGGCAAAUAGAAAAGAAAUGGCUUCUGUUUCUGUAUCUUGACUUGCUUCUCAUCAGUUUGUAAAUGGAGGUAGGUUGUAGAAAACACACACACACACACACACACACACACACACGAACACCAAGAGCAAUGACUAAGAAGAAGGAGGGACAGAGUUUUGAGUUUGGAAGAGCAUGCUGGGCACAGAAUUUGAAGUAGUCAAUCAAUUAGCAUUUCACAUUUUGUAAUUUAGAAUCAUACAUACAUAUCUCCUGGUCUAACCCUCAUAGAAUAUAGGAUUUCUCCUGUAUUAGUUUCCUAUUGCUGCUAGAACAAAUUACCACAACUUUUGUGGCUUGAAACAAGACAAAUGUAUCGUCUUACAGUUCUGGAAGUCAGAAGCUGAACAUGGAUCUUAUAGACUAAAAUCAAGGCAUUAACAGAACUGCAUUUCUUCUGGAAGCUCUUUGGGAGAAUCUGUCUCUUUGCCUUUUUCAGCUUCCAGAGGCUGCUCUCAGGGCUUAGCUUGUGGCCCCCUUCCUCCAUCUUCAAAGCAAAUUACUCAAUUUCUGCUUCUAUCAGCCAAUCUCCUACUCUGACUGGUUCUCUACUUCCUUCCCUUAUACAGACCUCUUAUAUGGGCCCGCUCAAAUAAUCCAGGAUAAUCUCCCAUCUCAAGAUUCCUACCCUAAUCAUAUCUGCAAAGUCCAUUUUUUACAUUUAAAGCAAUGCAUUUACAUUUCUUGGUGUUUAAGACACAGACAUAUUUGGGGAGCCAUAACUCAUUCUGUCACACUUCCCUAAAUCACCCUUUCCUGAUGGUUAGGUGCACACCUCUUCCUGAGUACAUUCUGAGGCAGCCCAUUUCAAUGUAAAUGUUAUCUGACUUUCUUUUGCUAGUUAAAUGAAUGACUGAGUGAGUAGAGGAAGCCACACGCUCUUUCUCUUUCUCUUUCUCUUCACUCAUGGGUUGAAAGCGACCAGUAAGAAGUCAGACAAGAAUAAUUAGGAAAGUUUGCUAGGGUUUUUGUCAUUACCUUGAGUCUUGACAGGCAGAUCUCCAAGAGAACAGUAGCUUGGCUACCUACCCCCUAGUCAAAAGGGCCAUGCAGGAAUACAAAUAUACUCUUUUAGCUUCUGAUGAAAGAACUGGGCAUCAUUAUCCCUAAGGACAACAUUGAUUAAUUGUAAUGUAUGCAUAACUGCUUAGCCUAUGUACAAAUUCUUCCACUGUCAUUGCAGGGUACAAUACCAACAUUGCCUUGAGCCAGUUCAGAUAAACACCAAUAAGAAGUAAUGUAUUUCUUCAUUUACUUACUGCGGAAUCAGUGGGUAGCCUCUUUCAACCCAAGGCUAUCCAUUUUCAAAGGGGAAAUGGUACAAUAAAUGGAGGAUCCCCAUGGCUCAGACAAAGACUGUGUUCUUCUUCUUGAUUAUUUUUGUUAUAGAGUUAUGACUAUUCAAACAAUUCUAGAAAGCUCUUUCCUGUUGGCAAUAUCUCCAGGUAGCUCUCUCAUUAAGCCCAUUCAGUUCAGUGCUCUGAUGUGUAAGACAUCAUACAGUAUAAAAUUGUCCCAUGCAAAAUCUACUUUCCCCUAAAUAUGUAUUGUUGACUUGGCUAAAAACUUCUCAUCAGACAGUGAACAGUGAAAAAUACUUUACUCUUGCCAUCUGCCCAAUAAACAGAAUCACACAGUGUGCUCAACUCCUCUAAGUGAUCAUUUAAGGUGACUCCUGCUAUUAACACAUAUAGCCGCUGGGCAUACUGACUCCACCCCCUGUUCUUGCUGCUCUGGCUGUGGCACCCCCCUAUACCCGCUUUAGUUUGAUGGUCCUUUUAUGCCCAUUCUUCCCAGUUCCCAACAUUUUAUUAAUCAUUAUGUUUUAAAAGAAAUCAGUUUCAUUGGGUUAUUAUUUACAUACAAAUGCAUAUAUCAGUGUAAACAUCACUGCAAUUAAGAUGCGGAAUAUUUCCAUUCCUAUAAAAAGUUCCCUCCUCCGCUUUUGCAAUUAAUUAUUUGCUACCCUCCUGCCCCAAGAAGUCUUCUGUUACUAUAGAUUAGUUUCCCUUUUCUAGAAUUUCAUAUAGAUGGAAUCAUACAGUAUAUAUUAUUUUGUGUAGGCUUUUGUUUUAAAAUUUAGCAUCAUGUUUUUGAAAUUCAUUCAUAUGGUAUAUAUCAAUCGUUUCUUCUCUUUUAUUGCUUAGAAGUGUUCCAUGGUAUGCAUUUAACACAUUUUGUGUGUCUGUUCACUGGUUAUUGCCUAUUUAGGUUGUUUCUUGUUUUGGGCUGCAAUGAAUGAAGUUACUGUGAAUAUUUGUAUACACAACCCUAUGGAUAUAUCGUUUCAUUUUUAAUUUUUUUGAGUAAAUUCUGAGGAGUGGAAUUGCUAGGCCAUAGAUAACUAUGCAAGUAACUUUAUAAGAAAUGGACAAAGUGUUUUCCAAAGUAGCUAUACCAUUCUAUAUUCCUACAAAUUUUGUCUGAGAGUUCCAGUUAUACCACAUGCUGGGCAGCAGUUGGUAUUAUAAUCUUUUAAAUUUUAACCAUUCAAAUGGGUGUGCAGUAAGAUUUCAUUGUGGCUUUAAUUUCUCAUUUUCCAUAACUAAUCAUUUUGAGCACCUUUUCAUGUGUUUAUUGCUAUCCACGUUUCUUCUUUUGUGAAGCAUCUCUUAGCAUUUUUUGCCCAUUUUUAAAUGGAGUUGUCUUAUUGAAUUGUAAGAUUUCUUUAUAUAUUCUGUGUACAAGCCUGUUAUUAGAUAUAUGCAUUGUAUUUGUUUUAUACCAGUCUGUAGAUUGACUUUUUAUUUUCUUAACAUUGAUUUUUAAUUUUGCUGAUGUCUAAUGUAUUAGUUUCCUUCUUAUUGCUACUGUAACAAAUUACCACAAAUUUAGUGGCUUAAAACAACACAAUUUGUCUUAAAGGUCUAGUGGUCAGAAGACCAAUCUAAGUUGGCAGGGCUGCAUUCGUUCUGGAGACUCCAGGGGAGAAUCCAUUGCCUUGCCUUUUCCCACCGCUAAUGGUUGCCUGCAUUCCUUCCCUCAAGGUGCCACAGCACUCUGACCUUGGUUUCUUUUGUCAAAGGUGCCUCCUCUGACUCUGACUUCCUGCCGCCCUCUUUCAAGGACUCUUGUGAUUACAUUAGGCCUUCCCAGAUAACCCAUAGUAAUCUCCCUAUUUCAACAUCCUUAACACAAUUACAUCUGCCAAGUCCCUUUUGCCAUGUAAGGUAACCCAUUCACAGGUUCUGGAGACAGGAUGUGGACACUUUUGGGGGAUCAUUAUUCAGUCUACUGCAUGGAAUUUACAAUUCUUUUUCUUUUAGGGUUCAUGAUUUUUGCAUCUUACCUAGAAAAUUUUGCCCUAUCCCAAGAUCAUAAAAAUUUUCUUCUAUAUUAUGAAAGUUUUAUACCUUUAGCUAUUAUAUGUAGGUAUGCAAUCUACUUCAAAUUAAUUUUUUGUAUGGUUUUGAGGUAAGAGUCAGCUUUCAUUUUUUUUUUUUUAAGUUUCCAGUUUCUCCAGCAUCAAUGUUGAAAAGACUAUCCUGUUGAAUUACCUUGACAUGUUUUUUGAAAAUCAAUUGAUACUUAACACGUGUAUUGAUUUCUAUUCUCUCUGUUCUGAUUUUUUCUGAAAGCAAAACUGAUUCAAUCCUUGGCUUAGAAUCAUUGAAUAGUUUCUAAUAUCCUAUUUUUUUAAACAUGAUUUACAAGACCCUUCAUUAUAUGACCCUUUCUUCUCUUUCCAACGAUAUCUUUCACCCUCAAUUGUACUGACCACCUUCUAGUUUCUUGAAUACACCAUACUCUUUUAACUCCUCUGCACACACUUCUCCCUCUGCCUUGAACACCCUUUCCUUCCUCUUUGCCUCACUUUUCUCUUCUCAUUCAUUAAGCGACCAUCACUUUCCCCAGAAAACUUUUUCUGACUUCUUUCUUUAUGCUAUCAGAGCAGCUAACACACUGAAUUCCAGCUGCCACUAGAGAUACCUGUAUCCCCUCUACAUAUGGUUUUCUGGGGCAGGUGGGUUGGGGUGAAGACCAUGUGUUACCCAUUUAUAUCUCCUAGCACCCAGCACAUUGAUUUGUUAAAUGAAUAAUGAUGAACCUUCUGUCACACAUAUGGGGCUCGCCUCACAAUGGAAUUGCUGAUUGAUAUUCACAGCAACUACACUCAACUAUGAAGAAUGGACUGGAUGAAGAAAAUGGAAAAGAGCCAAUUUCUUAUUUAGGCAAAGAGGGAAUGAAGUAUUGAGACACAAAGGAAUAUUCUAAUAGAUAUACCAGAGUUUUGGUAAAUAAAUUUUACUAUUUUAUAUGAUAACCCUUAACUGGGGAAUAGGUAAUCUGAUUAAUAAAAUAUUCCGGUUAAUAAAGAUCCUUGUAUACAUUUUCAAUUUAAUAAGGGUAAAGGAGGAAAAAGAACAAAUGUUUACGUAGUACAUUCAACAAACUUUGUACUGAACUAUGCACUUUAUAAAUGUAAUCUCAUGAAACUCCCAAAACAACUCUGGGAUGUUAGGAUGAUUAUGUUAAUGCCCAGAGAGGUAAUAUAAAUAACCAUACAGUUAGUGGAGAAGACUUAGGUUUGAAACCUAGAGAUAUCUUCUUCUAGAGUCUGCACCUAUUCUAUUCCCUAGGAAAAUGACUACAUUUUCUUACCACUAAAGCUAAUCCCCAGUUCCUCUGAUAAUUCAUAAGGAAUCAAUGAUGUUGUAAUGACUUAGGGAAUUAUUGAACACAAGUUGCUAUUUUACUUGAAAGGGGUAGAUAUAUUUAAAAAGGUUUCCCAACUUUCCAAUAUAUUUUUUGAUUAUGUGGUAUCCCGUUAACAUAGACUUUGUCUUGGCAGUUGUUGGAAUUUUAGGUUGGCUCUAAGAUGCCAUUAUCCACAGGGAUUCCAGAAAAGUGCCAAAUUAGCCCCAAACUGUGGUCAUCCCUUCAACAAAAUUCUCCCAAAUGGUACAUAAAACAGGAAGUAUAACUCAGUGGAAACAGGAGGUAACUUUAUUGUUAGCUACGGCCAUAACUCUCAGGCAGAACUCAGGGAAGGAUGGCCUAGUGGGGCCUUAACAGGGUUGGGAAAUUCCUCUACCUUAUAUUCUUUGUUUUUAGUCCUUAACAUUUGUUUUUAAAUCCACUGGGAUAUAGCCCAGUGAGGCUUGUUGCAGUGUUUUUUAGGGGAAGAAAUCAUCAGAGCAUCAGGGAAGUCUAUGCCACAGCCCCAUCUGAUAGGUUCCUUUUCCUUGCUGCUCUGAACAUGGGUGACCAUUUCAACUGAAGAAACAAUGCCUCUAGUGUUACUCCCCAAAGUUUCUAAAAUUGAUCAAAAGAAGACAUUAAUUAUUUCCAAGGCCACAUUGGUUGAAAUUUAUUUUAGUAUUUCCCGUCUCAAAUUAUGCUCUGCUUCAGUGUCCUGCCUAGGUUAGCAAAGAGGUUUAUAUAUUAGGGACACAUGAUAGGAUUCCCAAAAUAAGAGGAUGCCAAACAGAAAACUUCCCCAAAUUGGAACAAAACAUAAUUCUCUACCUUUUGUUGCUAAAAGCAAUUAAAACUGCCAAAUAAAAAUAUUCUUUUUUAUUGGAGAAAUUACUAAGGAAAUAACCUCUCGACCUCUCAUUCAUCUUCCUUUUUGUUUUUUAUUUUUUGAGACCGGGUCUAUGUCAUGCAGACUGGAGUGCGGUGGCACGAUCUGGGCUUCUUGUAACCUCCACAUCCUGGGCUUAAGCAAUCCUCCUACCUCAGCCUGCUGAAUAGCUGGGACUACAGGUGUGAGCCAACAUGCCUGGCUAAUUUUUGUAGAGACUGGGUUUCACCAUGUUGCCCAGGCUAGUCUCAAACUCCUGGGCUCAAGCAAUCCAACCACCUUGGCCUCCCAAAGUGCUGGGAUUACAGGUGUGAGCCACCAUGCCCUGCCAUUAAUUUUCAAUAAAAGACAUGUGAGUAUCUAUGGGGGGCUUGGAGUCCCAGGUAGAGUUUGGUUCAUCUUCCAAUGAAGCUGGUGUUGUCUUACAGCAUUUCUAUAUUUGGAUCAACCCAACAAUUAGUGUCUCAGAUGUUUUACUUUCCCAAAUCAUGAAGUGUCAAAUAAAACUGUGACCAUGAUUUCUAUGUUGAUGAUACUGACUGGUCUUCUAAGAAAUGUAGGAAUAAUUUACAACAUAUAAAGGAACUUUGAGAGAAAGGCAGGAGUUUAAGAAAUAUAAGAAACUUGAGAAGAGAUAGAUUUGUAUUACACAAGUUUUAGGGGAUUGAGGAAGCCAAAAGAGCACAAUAACUUAUCUGGCAAAUCAGAGAAAAGGCAGCUGCUAGAAGGGAUUUUGUCUAGGCAGAUGUGGAGUCUGAAUGCAGUGAACAAAGUGAUGCUGGGCAGAAUUCAGAAGAGAAUAAACCAAAAUUUAGGUGCCUUGAAGAACAAUUUUUUUUUAAAUGGGGAAGUAUUGUUUUUGGCUAUAAAUGCCAGACUACCCUGAUUUGAACUGUUUUAAAUAUGAAGAGAAUUUAUUGUCUCAAGAAUUGGAAGUACAGAGGUAGAAGAUGGGGUGGGCCCAAGAACAGUACAAUCUUGAGCUCAUUGCCAUUGUCAAGGACCUGGGAUCUUAUCUGCCUCCACUCUGCUGCCUCGGUGUGGGUACCAUCCUAAGGGUGGAUCCCCUGUGGUAGCAAGAUGGAUGCAGGUGGCAACAGGAGCUGUUUUCUUCCUUGUUUAUGUCCAGUAGAAGAGAAAGAGGGAAGCCUUUUCCCUAAGCAGGGAAUAUAAUUCAUUCCUUUUCAUCUGAUUGGACAGAUUAUAUGCUCAUCUAUUAGUCAAAAAUCAUCCCUGGGUCAUGUGAUAAUUGGCACAUUGACUGAUGUGUAAUAGUCUCUGAAGGUAAAAAUGGGGUAGAUAUCUGAACAGGAAUUGAAUUCUGUUGAGGAUGGGGGAGGAGAGUCUAUAUGUUGGAUAUACAACUGUAUUAGUUCAUUUUCAUGGUGCUGAUAAAGGCAUACCAAAGACCGGGCAACUUACAAAGGAAAGAGGCUUAAUGGAGAACUCACAGUUUCACAUGGCUAGGGAAGCCUCACAAUCAUGGUGGAAGGCAAGAAGGAGCAAGUCACAUCUUACAUGGAUGGUGGCAGGUAAAGAGAGAGCUUGUGCAGAGAAACUCCUGUUUUUAAAACCUUCAGAUCGUGUGAGACCCUUGCAUUUUCACAAGAACAGCAUGUUAAAGACCUGCCUGCAUGAUUUGAUCAUCUCUCCUUGGGUACCUCCCACAACAUGUAGGAAUUAUGGGAGCUACAAGAUGAGAUUUGGAUGGGGACACAGAGCCAAAUCAUAUCAUUCCACCCCGACCUCUCCCAAAUCUCAUAUCUUCACAUUUCAAAACCAAUCAUGCCUUCCCAAUAGUCUCCCAAGGUCUCAGCUCAUUUCAGUGUUAACUCAAACGUCCACAGUCAAAAGUCUCAUCUGAGACAAGGCAAGUCCCUUCUGCCUAUGAGCCUGUAAAAUCAAAGCAGGUUAGUUACUUACUAGAUAGAAUGGAGGGUACAGGCAUUAGGUAAAUACAGCCAUUCCAAAUGGGAGAAAUUGGCCAAAACAAAGGGGCUACAGGCCCCAUGCAAGUCUGAAAUCCAGCAGGGCUGUCAAAUCUUAAAGCUCCAAAAUGUUCUCCUUUGACUCUGUCUCACAUCCAGGUCAUGUGAGAUGUAAGAGGUAGGUUCCAAUAGUCUUGGGCAGCUCUGUCCCUGUGGCUUUGCAGGGUAUAGCCCCUCUUCUGGCUGCUUUCAUGGGCCGGCAUUGAGUGUCUGGCUUUUCCAGGCACACAAUGUAAGCAGUCAGUGGAUCUACUGUUCUGGGGUCUGGAAGAUGGUGGCUCUCUUCUCACAGCUCCACUAGAUGGUGCCCCAGUAGGGACUCUGUGUGGGGGCUCUGACCCCACAUUUCCCUUUUGCACUGACCUAGCAGAGGUUCUCCACGAGGGCCCUGCCCCUGCAGCAAACUUCUGCCUGGGUAUCCAGAUGUUUCCAUACAUCCUCUGAAAUCUAGGCAGAGGUUCUCAAACCCCAGUUCUUGACUUGUGUGCACUUGCAGGCCCAACACCAUGUGGAAGCUGCCAAGGCUUGGGGCUUCCACCCUCUGAGGCCAUGGCCUGAGCUCUGCAAUGAACCCUUUCAGCUACAGCUGUAGCAGCUGGAACACAGGGCACCAAGUCCCUAGGCUGCAAACAGCACAAGGACCAAGGGCUCAGCCCAUGAAGCCACUUUUUCCUCCUAGGCCUCCAGGCCUGUGAUGAGAGGGGCUGCUGUGAAGACUUCUGACAUGCUCUGGAGACAUUUCCCCAUUGUCCUAGGGAUUAACAUUCAGCUCCUUGUUACAUAUGCAAAUUUCUGCAGCUGGCUUGAAUUUCUCCUCAGAAAAUGGGAUUUUCUUUUCUAUCACAUUGUCAGGAUGCAAAUUUUCCAAACAUUUAUGUUGUUUCCCUUAUAAAACUCAAUGUCUUUAAUAGCACCCAAGUCACCUCUUGAAUGCUUUGCUGCUUAACAAUUUAUUCUGCCAGAUACCCUAAAUCAUCCCUCUCAAGUUCAAAGUUCCACAAAUCUGUAGGACGGGGCAAAAUGCUGCCAGUCUUUUUGCUAAAACAUAACAAGAGUCACCUUUACUCCAGUUCCCAACAAGUUUCUCAUCUCCAUCUGAGACCACCUCAGGCUGGAUUUCAUUGUCCAUAUCAUUAUCAGCAUUUUGGUCAAAGCCAUUCAACAACUCUCUAGGGAGUUCCAAACUUUCCCACAUUUUCCUGUCUUCUUCUGACCCCUCCAACCUGUUCCAACCCCUGCCUGUUACCCAGUUCCAAAGCCACUUCCACAUUUUUGGAUAUCUUUUCAGCAGUGCCCCACUCUACUGGUACCAAUUUACUGUAUUAGUUCAUUUUCAUGCUGCUGAUAAAGACAUACCUGAGACUAGACAAUUUACAAAGGAAACAGGUUUAAUGGAAAACUCACAGUUCCACAUGGCUGGAGAAGCCUCACAAUCAUGGUGGAAGGCAAGGAGGAGCAAGACACAUCUUACAUAGAUGGCGGCAGGCAAAGACAGAAAGGAGGGAGCUUGUGUAGAGAAAUUCCUGUUUAUAAAACCAUCAGAUCUUGUGAGACCCAUUUCCUAUCAUGAGAACAGCAUGGGAAAGACCUGCCUCCAUGAUUCAAUUACCUCCCACUGGGUCCCUCCCACAAUACAUGGGAAUUCAAGAUGAGAUUUGGGUGGGGACACAGCCAAACCAUAUCAACAACAAACAACAUUACUACAGAGUCCAACAAUGAUAGACUGAGUCUGCAGAUGUCAAGUUCAAGAGUUCUCAAAAGAAGCUGGGGUGAAACAGAAUAAUUGGAUACCCCAUUUAGGGCCAAGGGCACUCACCAGAGCGAAUGUCUCUGGGGCCUGCUCUGAGAAACAUGAGAACUAGGUAAGUUUUUACCCACCCACAUUAUGAUUAGAGAGGGAUGGAUCCAAAUGUAUAAAUCUGAAUGUCAGGUGAAGGGUGGUAGAGAAUAAAUGACAAGGUUAGAAUCCAGGAGGGUGGGAACAGGUUAGAGUCUGUGGUGAGAGAUGAGUUAGUGGGAUUGGUCGAGCACCCUGGAUAAAAUUCAUGAAGGUUUUGGAGGCCUGUUUCCCAUGGUGUUGGCAAUGUGGGUCAGGCCUGAAAAUGUCAAGAUCACAUUAGGUUAGAGCAUUGGUUCUCAUACUUUCAUAUGCAUUAGAAUCACCUCAGGGCUUGUUAAACUAAAUUGUUGGGCCCCAGUCCCAGGGUUUCUGCUUCAGUAGAUCUGGGGUAGGGUUUGAAAAUUUGCAUUUCUAACAAAGUUUCCAGGUGCUGCUAGUCUGGGGACCUCACUUUGAGAACCACUGGAUUAGAGAAACAGCUUGCCAAGGGCUGUUAAACUGGUGUUUUUCAAUGUAUGGUGUGAGGGCCACCUGCUAAGAAUCACUGGUGGAGGCUGUUCAAGAUGCUAAUCUUCUAAGCUCUAUCCCCAGAGGUUUGUGUUAGGGGCCUUGGAGAAGAACCUGCAAAUCUACUUUUUUUUUAAAACAAGUUCUCAAGAUGAUUCUUAUGUUGCUAUGGUUUGUGAACCACUCUAAGUCAUGUGAAGCUCAUUUAAACCAUCACUUAUCUCUGUGUGCUUUGUGUAGUAAGCAGGCUACUGCAGUGACUCAUCACCUUUUGUGGCUGCCACAGUGGCAUAGAAUCAAGCACUGGGGUUUUGGGAGAUUGACAGAGAGGGGUUCAGAUCCUGUGUGUGCCACAUUCUAUUUGGGGGAUCUUGGACAAAGAGAUUUAAUCAUUCUGGGCUUCAAGUUCAUAAUCUGAAAGAUGGAAUAAUGAGACAAGUGUUAUGUAAUAGUCACCUAACAUCAUGUCUGAUUUUUCUUUUUUAAUUUACAAAGGGAAGAGGUUUAAUUGACUCACAGUUCCACGUGGCUGAGGAGGCCUCACAAUCAUGGCAGAAGGCAAAGGAGGAGCAAAGUCACGUCUUACCUGGCAGCAGGCAAGAGGAUGUCUGAUUCUUAGUAAGCCCUCAAUAAGCAGUAGCUCCUCUAUGAUUUCUUCAUAUUCUUAUUUCCAGCAGUAUGAUAUGUAUGAUAUGCCAGUUGACCCACUGAACAGGCAUCUUGCCAGAGGCAGUUUCAUAUGCUGCUUGACUUGAAUCAAGAGAAGGCAUCAGAGGAACACUAUCACAGAAAAAGAUUAAAAAGAACUUUGGGACUUAAAAGGCAGAAGGAGAAAAACUAUUCUCUGGAUAGUGCUGGUGAAAAGUGAGCAGACAGUGAGAUAUCAUUGGAGCUUGUCUUCUGCAUGUUUGGUUGUAACUCCUGUCUUCAUUCAUAAUGCCUCACAUCUCCUCCUGACACAUGGCCGGGACUCUGUUUGUGAUGAAUGUUUGUACACAUGGAGGAGGGAGGUACAUAUGCUGUACAUGCUUAGAGGUAGAUACUUACAGGGAGCAGAAGAAGUGUGGGUGGUCAGCCAAAAUGAGGAAAAUACUUCUGAAACUUAAAACAGACCAUGAAAUCAAAUAAAGCCUGGAAAUAUUGUAAGUGUGGUCCCCAAAUUUAGCACCACUGUGUUGACUUAUUUUACUGCUCUGCGUCUAUCUGGUCACACACAUAAACAGGAUAACUUUUUUUUUCUGAGUCUCUGCAGCACAAGGCCAAGUAGAUGGACUGUGGUAAAGAGAGUAAGUGAAUGUUUUGGAAUUAUCUAUUCAAUUGAACUUUCUCAAAUGAUCCAAAUAGCUUCUCAAGAGCCAUUAUUUUAUCUUGUCCUUUACAUUUUCUAUGAGUGUUUUCAUGUCAAAAUGCACUUGGAAGCUAAAGGACAAGGUAUUCUGCUACUUUUGGCCUUAAGAACCCUUUCUAACUUUUGUCUGCAACUGUUCAUGCUGAGGUUAUUACGUGUUCAAUAUAUUCUCUUUAUGAAUCCUGAAUAUUCAUAUUUCCAAAUAAACGUGAGACAAUGGGCCUAAAAUUCAAAAGGAAGACAAAACAAAAGAAUUUCAAGCUUCUACUUUGUAUUUUUAUACUAUGGCAUUUCUCAUGGGUAGCAAGUUCCAAAUCAUAGUAUUUUCAAACUCGAAGGGAAUUAAAACGAGCAAACUAUGGCUCAGAACAUUUAAGUCACAUCCUAGUGUUGCAUAUUUAGUUGGAGUAAGAAACCAGAUCUCAUGGUUUCUAUUUCAGUGCUCUUUCUAUUCCACCAAGCUCACACUCCCACCCCUUGGAUCCAUUGCUACUAAAAUCCUGAAAGGAUUCAGAAAGGCAUACUUGAGAUUAUAACACUAUGUCUGUAAAACCUAAUUCAAAUCGAUUAAACUUCCAUGGAUUUCUAAGCUAUUCUAUAAGCUGGGGGAUUCGUUUAUUGGAAUAACAUCUUCAUUUAGGACCACCCUUAUUCUCCGCCGUGUGACAGGAUAACUAAGAUCCCUCAGGGAAGUCUUUCUUUCCUGAACUUAUUGAUGCCUAAUGAUGAUCUGUUGGAGACCCUGCCUUUCCCGGGUCAAAGGCAGACAUUAGGGCUCAUUUUCCCCAGUGUCUUUGAUACUUUUCAAACUCUUGAGCUAAAGGAUAAAACUAAACCAGCCGUUUCCAAGGACACAUUUUUAAAAAUUACUUAAAAUUUUGGUUUUUCUUGGUUCAUAAACUUAGUUUUACUCUUAAAUAAAUGUUGUCAAUACAAUACAUGCACAGUUACAAAUAUCACCCAAGGAUUCUAAUGAAAAGUGGCCGUUUCUGCCCUACUUCUCCCACAUCAGAGUAGACCGCUUUUAACUCUUUUUACCCUCUGUUCUAAUAUUAAUUUCAACAUAUUGUAAUUACUUGAAUCCAAAGUAUUAGACAUUUUCUAUUGACUUCCUUUUAUCACAGCUGAUGAUUUAACUCUCUACCACUUCCUCCAAUUUUUUCUUUUUCUUUUCUUUUGAAACAGGGUCUCACUCUAUUGCCCAGGCUGGAGUGCAGUGUCAUGAUCAUAGCUCACUGCAGCCUCAAACUCCUGGGUUCAAGGUAUCCCCCUGCCUCAGCCUCCCAAAGUGCUGAGAUUACAGAUGCAUUGGCCGAAAUUUAUUCCCUUCCUUUGUCUACUAUAAUUAAUUAGGCCACAAUCUUACUGCAACAGCAACAAAAUAUCAGUCCUUACAUGAUUAUGUAGAAAAUAUAUUUUACUGAAUAGCUUGCUAAUAUACUAUGAUUCCCUUUAUUAUGCUCGAUAGUCUCUUUUUUACUACUUAAAAACUUUUUUUGGAAUCAAAAACUGCUUUAUGUGUUUUAGCUCCUUAGUCUCCUAUAGACCUAUUCUUAUCUUUUCCAAAUGCUCCAUUAGGUCUGCUCUACACAGUUAAGAAGCUUUCCCCAAAUGGUUUAAUCAUGUCUGAUGAUCUGUCAAUUAUUCCUGCCCUCACUGCCGCGUCGCUUUACUGUGGCGCAUUGAUCCUUCCGCUCCAGUCUGCUUUCCUCCAGGGCUGUUGCACACGGUCAUCUUUGGACCACACCAUUUUUAUGUUCAGGACCUCUCCUCUGCUUGGUCAUGUGCUUUCUUCUUCCUUAUUUUAGUCCUUUAUUUUUCUGGAUCAAUGCUUCAUAAAUUAAAACUUAAAUUUAAAAAGAUUUGAAAAAUUUAAAAACCCUAAAGUGUCUGGGAGAAGAAUAUAAUGAAUCCCUACAUAUUCAUACUUAUCACCCAGAUUCAACAGUUAUCAUGUUUCCACAUUUAUUGCAUUUGUCUUUUUCUUUUUCUUCUACCCUUCUUUCUUUUCUCCCCUCCCUCUCCACUUCCGUUUCCCUCCCUCCUUCCUCUUGCCCUCCCCGACCCUUCUGUUCCACUCUCAUCACCUCUCCCCGUCCCUAGUCCCUCUUCUUUCCUCUUCUUUUUACCUGCUUGCUAAAGUGUUAUAAAGCAAACCCCAGUGUUUCAAGCCAGGACACUGGAAGGGCUCUCCCUGAGAGAGAGACUACAUUCAAUACAGGCAGUGAAAGAGAGGCUAUGAUGACAUUAUGUGAGUCGCUGACUCUGACUGCACUGAAAGAUUUAUCCUAGACCUUUUAGUUAUAUGAACAAACACUUGUGCUUUGAAGGGACAUUAAGACAAGUCUGCCAGGAGUGAAAUUUUCCAGCUGACUGGCAGUUUGGAAAAUGAUUUUUAUAACUUUUUUGAGCAAAAUCACAGUAUCUUAGAUUAAUUACCAAAUAAACUUUUAUUUAUCCUAUUGUUAUCCAAUAGAUGAAAUGCCCAUAAUAUUCGGGUAUCAAUACUUAAAAAUAGAAAAUAAUGUGAUGUUUAGCUCUUUUAAAAAUAUGCCUCCUAUACAAUACCAAUAUAAAGUUAGGAUUUUACAUUCCUAGUAAAUCUCUUUUGUUUCAUUAGGAUUUGAACAAACGUGACAAUAUUGGCAAAGUGGUUUCUGUCUAUUAAUGACUCAUUAUAUUGCUCAGUUAACUUUAAUCCAAUAGAGUGGAUGUAGCAAUUUUUGUACAACAAAUCAGUAGCUGAUGGAACAGUUCAUAACUAGAAAUUUUGUCCAUGAAUUUACAUGUCGGCCUUCAUGCAAUUAUAAAUUCUUUAUUAGUAUUUUGAUUUAGGUAUUCUUAUCUUCAUUAUUGAAAACAUGACUAUUUUUAUAACUGAAUAUUCUGAAUUGCAUUAAAAGAAUAACUGAGAUCAAUUUGUUGUAAAUAAUUCAGAAACGCUGACAGAAAUCUCUGCCUGAUUACUUUCUUAUGUAUGGCUGUAUUCUCUAUGGUGUCUUUUGCUUUUGUACAGUACACGAAUCCCAGAAACUUGUAGCUUUCUGAAUAAAUAACUUGGUUUACAGCCCUGUUUUCUCCUGUUAAAUGUUUGCUCUGUUCCCAGAAGAUAAGGAAAUUAAGUUUAUUAUGAACAAUUUAUCAAUGUAUUUCUAAUAAAGUCUUCCCAUUAAUCUUAUUUAUACUGAACUUUACAUGUUUUUAGUAAUCAACUUCUGAAAAGAUAAGGAAAAAAGUUUUGAGUAGUAGAGAUCAGUGAACUUAUUCAUGUAAAUCUUUAUUAAUAUACAUAUUAAAGUGAUAUGAAGAUGAGUAAAAUGCUUCCCCUUAAUGAAAAAGAAAUACGUGAUUAUAGCUUAAUUUUAGACUCAUUUCCACUUUUACUAGUAGUUUGGGUGAAAAUAUUUAAGUUGUAAUUUUAACGAUGGCAAUAAUAAUUUUUAAUUCACAGGCAUUUUGACAAUAUCCUUAUUGCCCAUUUUACUAGUCUCCUAAAUCUGGUUGUGGCAGAUUAUAUUUUCCAAAGAGAUGCUAGGGAUAUAUCCCAUCCCCCACGUGCUUCUUAAAAUAAGAUACUCCUCCCACAAAGAGAUGGGGAUCUGUGUUCUUUCCCCUUGAAUUUUUGUUAAGGGGCCUGUGACUGCUGCUUGUACUAACAGGGUACAGGAGAAGUGAUGCUAUAGGAUUUCUGAGGCCAUAAAGAGGAUGCAGCUCAUGGAUGAGUCACUCUCUUGGCAUAGGAACCUUGGAAGUCCUAAACUGUCAUGGAAGACACACAGCUGAAGUGAUCUUGCUGGAGAGACCAUGCGGAGAGACAACAUGGAGACAGAGAAACAUGUGGGAGGAUCCUCAGCUGCUCUGGCCACCAGAUGCCUCAGUCUCUCUGGGCCCAGGUACCAGACAUGUGAAUGAGCCACCUUCUGCCUAAAACCGUGUAAGAAAGUCUCAGGGAGAAGUGCCCCGCUGGAGCCUGUCAAAUCCCAGCCCAUGAGAGAACACGACACAUUGUAGUUGUUAUUUUAAGGCACUAAGUUUUGGGGUAUUGUGAUUUAUAAUAAGAAAUAUAUAUUUGGUUUCUGCUUCCAGUUCCUGAGACAGCUUCUAAUAUCCUUGGAGAUGGGGUGCUAGGAGAACCUUUUCUUUUAAUAUUUGAGUUAGAGCUCAAAUAUUCUGAGACAGGUUUCCCAAAUUUUUUGUAAUUUCCUGAGUGAUAGGAGCAUCUGACACUGAGCUCUAAAUCUCUUGGUGUUUCCUGAGUGAAAGGUACAUCUUUUUUUCUAAUGAGGUGACUCUUCAUGGGAUCCUGGAGAGCCUUGGUUGGGGACUGGUUGCCACGGGAACCAACCAUGUGAUUAGAGGGUUGGAACUUCCAGCCCCACCACCGGACCUCCAGGGAGGGGAGAGGAGCUGAAGGCUGAAUUGAUCACCAAUGGCCAAUGGUGUAAUCAUUUAUGACUACGUAAUACAGCUUCCAUAAAAGUUCAAAAAACAGGGUUUGGGGAGCUUCCAGAUAGCUGAACACAUGAAGGUGCCUGGAGGAUGGUGUCCAGAGAGGGCAUAGAAGCGCCACAACCCUUCCCACAUACAUUGACCUAUGCUUCUCUUCCAUCUGGAUGCUCAUCUGUAUCAUUUAUCAUAUUUUUAAUUAAUAUAAUAAACCAGAAAGUGUGUUUUGCUGAAUUCUGUGAGCCAUUCUAGCAAAUUGAAGAAGGGGGUUUUGGGAACGUUGAUGUAUAUCUAGUUUGUCGGAAGUGUAGGUGACAACCUACUACUUGCAAUUGGCAUCUGAAGUUGGGGAAAUCUUGUGGGACUGAGCCCUUAACCUGUGGGAUCUGACUCUAACUCCAAGGAGAUAGUGUCAGAAUUGAGUUAAAUUAUAGGACACCCAAUUGGUGUCUGAUGGAGAAUUGCUUGGUGUGUGGGGAACCCCCGACACAUCUGGUGUCAGAAGUGAAGUGGGAUGUGUUUAGUGUUAACGUAGAAGGAAAAGCACUUUUUAUUUAUACAUAGUCACAGUAACUGGUAUGGUGGCCCAUCUCCAUGGUUCCCUGAUUUAGAGAACAGCACCAUCAUUCAUAUGACAACCCCCAAAUUUUUACAUCACUUUAUUUCAGACUUCUCUGAGAUCCAGAUGGGAAGUUCAAAUUGCCUAUGUAAAUUUCCACUCUCUCAGAUGUACAUAUUGGGAGGAACUGCAAAUCAUAUUGCAAUAGACAAGGAUGUGUGCUAUCCUUUUAAGAAGGGACCCAAUAGUAGGCAACAACCAUGUAAUCUACCAUAAUCACCAAAGCUGUAUUUCUCCAUUAAUACAAUAAGAAGAUCAAGGUUUUCUCUAUAUUUAUAUCCAAGUGGUGACAUAAAAAAAGGACUAGCCACCACCACACUGGUGGCUCACUCCUGUAAUCCCAGCACUUUGGGAGGCUGAAGCAGGAGGAUCUCUGGAGCCCAGGAGUUUGAGACCAGUCUGGGCAAUAAGUGAGACCUCGACUCUAAAAAAUUAAAAAAUUAGCUAGGCAUGGUGAUAUGUGCCUGUGGUCCUAGCUACUUGACUUGUGAGGGGGAGGUGGGAGGAUCCCUUGAGCCUGGGAGAUAGAGGUUGCAGUGAGCUGAGAUCUUGCUAUCGCACUCUAGCCUGGGCAACAAAGCAAGACCCUGUCAAAUUAAAAAAAAGAAGAAGAAGAAAAGGUCUUCACAGAAACCCAACAAAUUAUUAACAGUUCAAUCCUCGUUCGGUGUGGGGGUAAAAAUGUAAGAGGUGAAGGAAGAGUCUAGCACUUCUGAAGCCUCUGUAGUGUUUGAAUCUUUUACAGUAAGGCUUCAAAUAUCUGAGGGAGACUGAGGCUGAGAGCUGCUACAUGUCAGAUUCAAGUGAGUUAGCCACCAAAGUCACAAACCUGUACCUAAUUCAGAAUCUUAUGUAAUCUAUUUUGCUUGGCACCUGAUUUGCCCAUCGACCUGUAUGUGUCCCACAUAUGAGCACGUACAAAGAAAGAUGACAAUAUGGAGUGUAUUUCUGACUCUUUUCUUAUAAUUCUAGGCUCCACAUAUGAGGUCAUAGUUACUUAUUGUUGCUUUACUGCAUCUUCUUGUCCUUCAGAUUACGACAAAGCGCUGAUGCCA
This 19474-nucleotide long non-coding RNA is filed under the name Homo sapiens (human). Its description in RNAcentral is "HSALNT0294301". Lineage: Eukaryota; Metazoa; Chordata; Mammalia; Primates; Hominidae. The record is from RNAcentral.